UGGGGAACAUGACCUUCGGCGGGGGAUAGCCGGCCCAACGGCCGGGUAAUACCGCGUACGACCUUUUGGGGACAUCCCUGAAUGGUGAAAGCAGCAAUGCGCCGAUGGAGUGCCUCGCGGCCUAUCAGCUAGUUGGUGAGGUAACGGCUCACCAAGGCAGCGACGGGUANCUGGUCUGAGAGGAUGGCCAGCCACAUUGGGACUGAGACACGGCCCAGACCUCCUACGGGAGCAG
This 235-nucleotide ribosomal RNA is filed under the name uncultured bacterium. RNAcentral's name for it is "partial 16S ribosomal RNA". It matches the Rfam family "Bacterial small subunit ribosomal RNA", at positions 118 to 347 of the family's 1533-position model. The record is from RNAcentral.